UCCUAGUGUGACAUAGAGUAACUCUGCUUA
This 30-nucleotide non-coding RNA is filed under the name Homo sapiens (human). The record is from RNAcentral. Lineage: Eukaryota; Metazoa; Chordata; Mammalia; Primates; Hominidae.